CAGGUCUUGACAUCCUCUGAAAACCCUAGAGAUAGAGGCGGCCUUCGGGACAGAGGUGACAGGUGGUGCAUGGUUGUCGUCAGCUCGUGUCGUGAGAUGUUGGGUUAAGUCCCGCAACGAGCGCAACCCUUGAUUUUAGUUGCCAGCACUUUGGGUGGGCACUCUAGAAUGACUGCCGGUGACAAACCGGAGGAAGGCGGGGAUGACGUCAAAUCAUCAUGCCCCUUAUGACUUGGGCUACACACGUACUACAAUGGCUGGUACAACGGGAAGCGAAGCCGCGAGGUGGAGCCAAUCCUAUAAAAGCCAGUCUCAGUUCGGAUUGCAGGCUGCAACUCGCCUGCAUGAAGUCGGAAUUGCUAGUAAUCGCGGAUCAGCAUGCCGCGGUGAAUACGUUCCC
This 400-nucleotide ribosomal RNA is filed under the name uncultured bacterium. Its description in RNAcentral is "bacterial SSU rRNA". It matches the Rfam family "Bacterial small subunit ribosomal RNA", at positions 975 to 1375 of the family's 1533-position model. The record is from RNAcentral.